RNAcentral lists this ribosomal RNA (253 nucleotides) under uncultured bacterium. RNAcentral's name for it is "partial 16S ribosomal RNA". It matches the Rfam family "Bacterial small subunit ribosomal RNA", at positions 524 to 776 of the family's 1533-position model. The record is from RNAcentral.
UACGGAGGGUGCAAGCGUUAUCCGGAUUCACUGGGUUUAAAGGGAGCGUAGGUGGCUUUGUAAGUCAGUGGUGAAAUCUUAGAGCUUAACUCUAAAACUGCCAUUGAUACUGCUUAGCUUGAAUCACGUCGAGGUGGAUGGAAUAUUACAUGUAGCGGUGAAAUGCUUAGAUAUGUAAUAGAACACCGAUUGCGAAGGCAGUUCACUAGGCGUGUAUUGACACUGAGGCUCGAAAGCGUGGGGAGCAAACAGG